GGAAGAGAACGUUGACUUUGCAGAGAAAUUAAAAGCCUUCACGAGACAAUUCUAUCAUCUCCUCAAUAACAGCAAAGCCUCUGCCAAAGAACAGUAGACUGAAUCUCAGAGAGAUGUGGGCCAGUUCACAGAUCCAGAGCCUAAGGAGGAGGCCAGCAUCCCUUGAAGAAGGAUUGUGAAACACUGCCACAAGUAUAUACUGUCUGAUAUAUUUGCUGGAGCAAGUCAUCGUAACACCUGGAUCUCAACUAUUGCUCUGG
Orcinus orca (killer whale) is the source of this 260-nucleotide long non-coding RNA. RefSeq lists it as uncharacterized. The transcript is spliced from 4 exons. NCBI's taxonomy places the organism in Eukaryota, Metazoa, Chordata, Mammalia, Artiodactyla, Delphinidae. The record is from RefSeq and is a predicted model, not a curated record.